This 72-nucleotide transfer RNA is filed under the name Bacteroidia bacterium. RNAcentral's name for it is "tRNA-Asn". It matches the Rfam family "tRNA". From Rfam's summary of the family: Transfer RNA (tRNA) molecules are approximately 80 nucleotides in length. Their secondary structure includes four short double-helical elements and three loops (D, anti-codon, and T loops). Further hydrogen bonds mediate the characteristic L-shaped molecular structure. tRNAs have two regions of fundamental functional importance: the anti-codon, which is responsible for specific mRNA codon recognition, and the 3' end, to which the tRNAs corresponding amino acid is attached (by aminoacyl-tRNA synthetases). tRNAs cope with the degeneracy of the genetic code in two manners: having more than one tRNA (with a specific anti-codon) for a particular amino acid; and 'wobble' base-pairing, i.e. permitting non-standard base-pairing at the 3rd anti-codon position. The record is from RNAcentral. Lineage: Bacteria; Pseudomonadati; Bacteroidota; Bacteroidia.
UGGCCGAUAGCUUAACGGUAAAGCACUGUCCUGUUAAGACAGCUUAUGAAAGUUCGAAUCUUUCCCGGCCAG